UACUCGAGUGGCGAACGGGUGAGUAACACGUGGGUGAUCUGCCCUGCACUUCGGGAUAAGCCUGGGAAACUGGGUCUAAUACCGGAUAGGAGCCAUUUUAGUUGUGAGUGGUUGGAAAGUUUUUUCGGUGUAGGAUGAGCUCGCGGCCUAUCAGCUUGUUGGUGGGGUAAUGGCCUACCAAGGCGGCGACGGGUAGCCGGCCUGAGAGGGUGACGGCCACAUUGGGACUGAGAUACGGCCCAG
RNAcentral lists this ribosomal RNA (243 nucleotides) under uncultured Actinomycetales bacterium. RNAcentral's name for it is "partial 16S ribosomal RNA". It matches the Rfam family "Bacterial small subunit ribosomal RNA", at positions 88 to 334 of the family's 1533-position model. The record is from RNAcentral. Lineage: Bacteria; Bacillati; Actinomycetota; Actinomycetes; Actinomycetales.